CAUAUACUCCCUCCGUUCGGAAAUACUUGUCAGAAAAAUUGAUAAAAUGGAUGUAUCUAGAACUAAAUAUGUCUAGAUACAUCCAUCUCUUCAACAAAUAUUUCCGGACGGAGGGAGUAUGUG
This is a non-coding RNA of Triticum urartu, 123 nucleotides long. The record is from Rfam. Lineage: Eukaryota; Viridiplantae; Streptophyta; Magnoliopsida; Poales; Poaceae.